This 531-nucleotide ribosomal RNA is filed under the name uncultured bacterium. RNAcentral describes it as "bacterial SSU rRNA". It matches the Rfam family "Bacterial small subunit ribosomal RNA", at positions 983 to 1509 of the family's 1533-position model. The record is from RNAcentral.
GACAUCCAGAGAACUUAGCAGAGAUGCUUUGGUGCCUUCGGGAACUCUGAGACAGGUGGCUGCAUGGCUGUCGUCAGCUCGUGUUGUGAAAUGUUGGGUUAAGUCCCGNAACCGAGCGCAACCCUUAUCCUUUGUUGCCAGCGAUUCGGUCGGGAACUCAAAGGAGACUGCCGGUGAUAAACCGGAGGAAGGUGGGGAUGACGUCAAGUCAUCAUGGCCCUUACGGCCAGGGCUACACACGUGCUACAAUGGCGCAUACAAAGAGAAGCGACCUCGCGAGAGCAAGCGGACCUCAUAAAGUGCGUCGUAGUCCGGAUUGGAGUCUGCAACUCGACUCCAUGAAGUCGGAAUCGCUAGUAAUCGUAGAUCAGAAUGCUACGGUCGAAUACGUUCCCGGGCCUUGUACACACCGCCCGUCACACCAUGGGAGUGGGUUGCAAAAGAAGUAGGUAGCUUAACCUUCGGGAGGGGCGCUUACCACUUUGUGAUUCAUGACUGGGGGUGAAGUCGUAACAAGGUAGGCGUACGUGU